Molecule: ribosomal RNA, 491 nt
Filed under: uncultured bacterium
Lineage: Bacteria
Description: bacterial SSU rRNA
Rfam family: Bacterial small subunit ribosomal RNA
Source: RNAcentral
CAGGCCUAACACAUGCAAGUCGAGCGGAUGACGGGAGCUUGCUCCUUGAUUCAGCGGCGGACGGGUGAGUAAUGCCUAGGAAUCUGCCUGGUAGUGGGGGACAACGUUUCGAAAGGAACGCUAAUACCGCAUACGUCCUACGGGAGAAAGCAGGGGACCUUCGGGCCUUGCGCUAUCAGAUGAGCCUAGGUCGGAUUAGCUUGUUGGUGAGGUAAUGGCUCACCAAGGCGACGAUCCGUAACUGGUCUGAGAGGAUGAUCAGUCACACUGGAACUGAGACACGGUCCAGACUCCUACGGGAGGCAGCAGUGGGGAAUAUUGGACAAUGGGCGAAAGCCUGAUCCAGCCAUGCCGCGUGUGUGAAGAAGGUCUUCGGAUUGUAAAGCACUUUAAGUUGGGAGGAAGGGCAGNNUAGCUAUACCUUGCUGUGUUGACGUUACCGACACAAUAUAAUCAGCGCCUGCUAUGUCUGUGCCAGCAGCCGAGGUAAU